AAAGGGAGACCUAAUUCCGGUAGGAGACGAAAAAAAAGUAGUCCCAACCAAGAAUCAAUCCCAAAAGGUCGGAACGAGGUAUGAGGCUUUCAAACUAGGUUCUGGGUUCAUAAAAGACCUGAAUCAGGAACAAGGGCUAUUAGCUCAGGUGGUUAGAGCGCACCCCUGAUAAGGGUGAGGUCCCUGGUUCGAGUCCAGGAUGGCCCACCUGCACAGGUGGCAAAAACAAGAGAAGCGAGGAAUCAGCACCUUAUCUUAUCUAUAUAUAAGAGAGAAUGCUGGCUCUGAGUACAGAGUCCAGAGGAACCUUGAAAACUGCAUAGAGCUAGGUGAAAAAGCCAAAAAAGAAGACCGCAAG
RNAcentral lists this transfer RNA (358 nucleotides) under uncultured Microcystis sp. RNAcentral's name for it is "partial 16S-23S ribosomal RNA intergenic spacer". The stretch from base 134 to 207 matches the Rfam family "tRNA". Lineage: Bacteria; Bacillati; Cyanobacteriota; Cyanophyceae; Chroococcales; Microcystaceae. The record is from RNAcentral.